Molecule: long non-coding RNA, 4454 nt
Organism: Tribolium castaneum (red flour beetle)
Lineage: Eukaryota; Metazoa; Arthropoda; Insecta; Coleoptera; Tenebrionidae
Exons: 2
Source: RefSeq, a predicted model, not a curated record
ACAUGAACAUGUAAUCAUUUAUCUGUGUAAUAUGUGGAUAGUUACAAAAAUUUCGGGAAUGUGGAAAUAUUAAAAUAUUUUUUUUAAUUUAUACAACGUGGCUUUUUUGGAAGAUAACGAUUCGAGGUUCCACCAAAAAAGUCCUAUUUGAUUUGUAAAUAUGACGUUUCAAUGGUUUCCGUAAGCAUGAUGUCUACAUCAUAGGUCUACAUUUACACUUAGCAACACGUCUGGGCAUAUUUGAAAUUAAAUUGACAAUGUCAUCUUGAGGCAACUCGUCCUAUGCUAUCUGAAGCUGCUUUCGUAGCUCAGUCUUGGGAGAAUGAGGUAAUCGACGCAGUCUUCUGUUCAUCAUAUCCCAGACAUGUUCGAUUGGUGACAAGUCGGGUGAUCUUGCAAGCUAAGAAGCUGGUGAAGUAACUGCAAAACAACUUGCUCCGGCUCCAAGACAGAAGUAAUAUAGCCCUGUGCAGUCAUUGUUUCAUGAGUAACGACUAAAGGUGAUCUGCCUCCGUGGUAAAAACCCCCCAAAUCAUUAUCCCAGGUGUAACUGCUGUAUGGCGACAUCGAACAAAUUGCAAAUUUUGUCUUUGGCCUUUAGGACAUCUUACACGGGUUCCUCCGUCAGAGUGCCACAAAUAAAAGCCGCAUUGGUGGCUGAAGGUAAUUGUGUGCCAUUCUUGGUCACAUUAUUGUCUUUCUUAACACCAUGGUUGUCUGUUCCCGUGUUAAGGGAAUACGAAAAUUUGGACUGUAUGAGCGAAACCCAAAUGAGCGUAUUCGGCGAUAAGUUGUACGUAUGGAGACUCUAUGUGCAAUACCUUUCCUCCAAUAAAUGUCAAUUGCCCGUGUUGGUUCGUGAGGAUCUUGUAUGGCAUUUCGUCGUAGGAUACAAUCUUCACGCGACCUUGUGUCACUCAUGGGACGUCCAUUGCCUCGGCGACGACCUCGGAGAUUCUUCGCGUCCCAAUCACUCCAAAUUAGAGCCACUGUCGAGUGAAUCCGACGCAAUUUCCCGGAAAAGCAUGCCAGCUUCAUGCAUCCCAACAAGUCGUCCCUUUUCGAAGGGGGUUAGUUUCCCGAUAACCGGGCUGUACCGAAGGAACCAAAAAGUGACAAAAAGCUGAUAAUAUACGGAUAACUUUUUUCUUAGCUUACAGAUCGGCUUCAAAAUGUAAUCAUAUGCUUCUCUGUGAAAAACAAUAAUGUUCAUAAAAUUUUAGCAUUUCACGCGUGUGGCCUUAGGGUGGUUCAUUUUUUUUAACGCCGUGUAGUUAAUAAAUUAACAGGUUGACUGCCGUGGUCAGGUUAGGUCAAUUUAUUUAACUUUUUUUACCUUUUUCUGCAGAAUGGACAAGACUUCUAUAAAAUUAAGAAUUAAGAAGAAAGCAGAAAAUGGUAGUUUAAUAAAAAGCAAAUACAACAAAUCUUAAUAUUUUGUAAUCGUAUCAUCUCCUUGUAAUACUUCGUUUAAGGUUGAACUAUACUCAGAACGUCUGAAGAGGAGCUGUUCAAGCAAGCGCGUGAACGCAAAAUUUGAAAUUGGAUUUUUAAGAAAAGUAAUAAACAAAAUGCUUUCUUUACAAUUGUAUGUUGUUCCUAAAUUCAGUCACUACCUCACAGGUCAGUUUGUAUUUAAUUUUAAGUAUUUGUAACCGAGUUUAAGCGGGUUAAAAAGUCGAUUUAAUUUUGUUUGAAAAAAAUAUGAUGACUUCUUUAGGACCUUAGCAACAAUAUACAUAAAUUUGAAAAAAAUUGUUAGUGUCAUUUAAAAAUAAAAUGAAAAAAACCUCAAUUUUUAGCCAUUUUAUUUUUUCAUUAAAAAAUGGUACUAUGUUUUUUUAUAAUUUGUUGUAUAGGUCUUGUAUAUGACUUACUUGUAAUACUAUAUUUAUAUCAUGCCAUUUGAACUCUAGGUUUUUCCAUAAAAACAUUAAGAUUAUUACUAUGUUUACCCCGUUAUAACGUGGUUACAAAUAUUUAAAUCGAGAUAAGAAAUGAUCUGUGAGGUAAUAAGUGAACCUAGGAAUAUCACCCAAUUGUAAAAAAACUAUUAAACUAUAUUGUGUCUCUACUACACUACUACUCAACGAUUACUUCUUGACUAUGUGGCAAUAUUUGGAUGUCCUAAAACUAAUUACGCUGUCAGCGUUAAGCAAUAAUUAAUUCUAGAACAUUCCUUUUUGGUCUUCCACUACAUCUCCCCCGAGAGAAAAAAAAAAGAAUUUUCUUUCGGUAACUGAAGAUUCUUUUUUCCUCUACGAAAGUAAUUGAUUUUACAGCACUAUAUUAAACCUAACCUUAACGUUAUCUACUCUUGUACUUAUUUUUUUAUUUAAAACACUGCUUAUUCGUGUAAUUUUCUUUUUCUUCAUUAUUUUCGAAACCUACUAUCCACCUAUUCGCGUAUUUGAGCCAAUUCUUAAUAUUUGAACCAGUCCAUGGAAUUGCUACUUAAUGUCAUUUUAAUCAUUUUAAUUACUACACGACUUUACAUUUAAUUAACUAUGUACAAAAGGGUUUAGUUCGAUUUUUAUGAACAAUUAUUUCUUUAUUUUUUUUUCAAAAUUUUUACAUUUGGAGACAAAUCUUCUAGUACUAUAUGGUCCGUCAAAAAUUGCACUUAAUUUAUCACCUGUCUCACUUUUUACAAGCACUAAAUUGUCUUUGCGAUACACUACCAGGUGAGCACUUUUAUCAUAGUUUAUUUGUCUGACAGUCUUACUUGUACUAUUUGGAUAAAGGUUAUAGAAAAAGAGUUUACAUAUUAGGAUAUCAUGUGAUACACAGUCAAACGCUUUACUAAGAUCUAAAAAUGAAUUUAUGUGGACACCUCUCUCUUCAAAGCAUAGAAUAAUAUUUUAUACUAAAGACCUAACUGCAUCUGACGUUGACAUACCUUUGCGAAAACCAAAUUGUUGGGAUGAAAGUAGAUCAUCUUUAUGCAAGAAGUGAACAAUUUGCCGUAGCAAUAAUUUUUCAAAAAUUUUUGACACUAUGUGUAGUAGAGAAAUCGGCCUAUAGUUAUUAACAUCAUGCACAUUGCCUUUUUUAAAAAUGGGUGUUGUAAUAAUUGUUGCCUUUAGACAAUCAGGAAAAAUGUUACUUUAAACGCAUACAUUAAACAUUUUUGUGAAAGGAGAAAUUAAAAAAUCUUUAACAGUUUUUAUAAUUAUUAAAUUAAGGCCAUAUAUGUCUUUGUUGUCGGGAUUUGUUAAGGAAUCAAAAGCUUCUCUACUUGAGUAGGAGAUACUGUUCCAAAAAAAAAUAAUGAUUUGUGUUAACAUUUUUCAUGAUUUGAAUGGGAUUAUAUGGAAGGGGUGGGAGUAAAUUUUUAAUGUUUUCCGAAAUAUUAGAAAAAAAAAAUUGACAAAAUCAUGAGGUGAUAUCUGGGGAAUAACUCUAUUUGUUUUAGGUUUCUGAUUAAUUAAAUUCCACAUGGAUCUACGAUUUCUAAAAUUUUAUGGUACAAAUUUGGAAUUCACUUUAAUUUUUCAUUUUUAAUUGCAUCAUUGUAUUUUUUCUUUUAUUAUUAUUUAUUUUAUUAUUUAACAAUUGUUUUGAUUCCAAAGUUUCGUGCAGCUUAUAAGCGUUAUGCAAGAACAUUAACGUUUCUCUCAUCUUUUUUUAAUUUUGGACUAAACCACUUGGUAGCAGAAAUUUUGGAACCAUUAUAUUUUUUCUGGAAGCGCCGAGUAAAAAUUAUGCAGAAUGUUGUUAAGAAACAUGGUGAAUGUGUUAUUAGGAUCUAUAUCAGAGUCUACACAUUGCUAAUUUACCUUACUAAGCAAGUUAAAAAAGAUAAAUGUACCAUUUUCACUAAGUUUAAAAAUUAUUCCCAAAUGAUCAGUGAUAGGUAAUUGGACUGGACUGAUUGAUGUAAAGAAUCUCUUAUCAAUGUUGGUAAAUAUAUGUAUUAUCAAGACAUGAGGCACUCCUAGUUGGAAAGUUAACUAACUGGAAAACAAACCAAAACUUUUAAAUAGGUCACAUACUAAUGUUUCACAACAUUUACACCUUUUUUUUCUUGUAGUCUAUGAGUGUAAAUAAUUCGUUUAGUACAUCAAUAAACUUUCUGAUGUCACCUUGGGAUGAACGAUACACAGUAACAAGGAUUAAAUUAUUUUUUACAAUUAAAGUCGCCUAAAGUUCGCAAUUCAUUUCAGAAGAUAGUUUAGUUACCUUCUGAAGGUCUUUAUACUCCACUUCAGAUUUCAAAAGGUGCAUAACACCUCCAUGAAUAUGGUUUUCCCUGGCCAAAUACUGGGUGAGUCUAAAUUCCUUCUACUCUGUAAACUGGAGAGUCUUCAGACUAUUUCGCAACAUUACUUAAAUUCCAUUUUGGGCGAUACGUCCACAUGAGGGCAAAAAUGUUAUGUAAAGUUUAAGCACAAAAGAUGAGUACGCCACUGGUAACUACAUUUAAAAGAAUCGAGAAAUGAAAAACUUAUCGC